GAUGAACGCUGGCGGCGUGCCUAACACAUGCAAGUCGAGCGAUUCUCUUCGGAGAAGAGCGGCGGACGGGUGAGUAACGCGUGGGUAACCUGCCCUGUACACACGGAUAACAUACCGAAAGGUAUGCUAAUACGAGAUAAUAUGCUUUUAUCGCAUGGUAGAAGUAUCAAAGCUUUUGCGGUACAGGAUGGACCCGCGUCUGAUUAGCUAGUUGGUAAGGUAACGGCUUACCAAGGCGACGAUCAGUAGCCGACCUGAGAGGGUGAUCGGCCACAUUGGAACUGAGACACGGUCCAAACUCCUACGGGAGGCAGCAGUGGGGAAUAUUGCACAAUGGGCGAAAGCCUGAUGCAGCAACGCCGCGUGAGCGAUGAGGGCCUUCGGGUCGUAAAGCUCUGUCCUCAAGGAAGAUAAUGAUGGUACUUGAGGAGGAAGCCCCGGCUAACUACGUGCCAGCAGCCGCGGUAA
RNAcentral lists this ribosomal RNA (468 nucleotides) under uncultured bacterium. RNAcentral describes it as "partial 16S ribosomal RNA". It matches the Rfam family "Bacterial small subunit ribosomal RNA", at positions 28 to 523 of the family's 1533-position model. The record is from RNAcentral.